Molecule: non-coding RNA, 73 nt
Organism: Bos taurus (domestic cattle)
Lineage: Eukaryota; Metazoa; Chordata; Mammalia; Artiodactyla; Bovidae
Source: Rfam
UCCCUGGUGGUCCAGUGGUUAAGACUCCGUGCUCCCAAUGCAGGGGGCACAGGUUCAAUCCCUGGUUGGGGAA